UCAACUUCAACCCUGUAAAUUUGGAAUCGAUUCUAAAACUAUUAAAGUUUACAAAAAAUUACCUAUAUUUUUUUCAACUUCAACCCCCUAAAUUUGGAAUUGACCUCUAAUUAGGACCUGGAUUUCCCCAAAUUUUGUCCCUUCCAACAUUCAACAAAGAGAACCCCCGUAUUUUCAAAUUACUCUUUCGAGCAAUCACUUCCUCAGGCGAAAAUAUAGGUGUAAGUAGACAAAUAUGAAUAUAAAACCAACAGUUGCAUUGAGAGCCAUUCUUGUCGGAGGAAUAGCUGCUUUUGCAAAAAUUGGUGGUGCUGUUAAAGCUGCAGGAGGUGUAAAAUUAGGUGCAGCAGCUGCUGCCAUGACUGCUGCAGCAACAGCAGCCGUAUCAGGAUCAAAACAAGAAGAAAAGAAGGAUGGUUCUCAGCAGUUGUCAUCUAAGUGAUGCACACAGCCCAUGUUAUUUUUUCUCCUAUGUUACUUAUAAAUUGUCAAAAUAAAAGCUGUAGGGUGGUGGAAUAUGCCAGUCAAAUGGUUUACCAAUAUGAUCUUAAAUAGCUGAGAUAUACGGGUCCUUACAACUGCGGGAUUUGUUAGUUCUGUACUAAUGGAAGUAGGAUUUUGUUGAAGUGAAAAAAAUCAUCACUCAGCUUCGGGGUAGAUGCAGUUUGUUUGCUCUACCUGAGGUAUGUAAUUGUUUUGUACCAGUAAAAGAUGUAUUACUGCUUCUGUGCUACUUUCAGAAGCAAUGUUUAUGUUUUUGUAAGGUUUUAAAACAUGGGGUCUCUUAAUAAACCAAUUUGAACUUUGAA
Molecule: long non-coding RNA, 809 nt
Organism: Lycium ferocissimum
Lineage: Eukaryota; Viridiplantae; Streptophyta; Magnoliopsida; Solanales; Solanaceae
Exons: 2
Source: RefSeq, a predicted model, not a curated record